CCUAGUACGAGAGGACCGGAGUGGACGCAUCACUGGUGUUCGGGUUGUCAUGCCAAUGGCACUGCCCGGUAGCUAAAUGCGGAAGAGAUAAGUGCUGAAAGCAUCUAAGCACGAAACUUGCCCCGAGAUGAGUUCUCCCUGAGACUUAGAGUCUCCUGAAGGAACGUUGAAGACGACGACGUUGAUAGGCCGGGUGUGUAAGCGCAGCGAUGCGUUGAGCUAACCGGUACUAAUGAACCGUGAGGCUUAACCUUACAACGCCGAAGCUGUU
RNAcentral lists this ribosomal RNA (271 nucleotides) under Salmonella enterica. RNAcentral's name for it is "partial 23S ribosomal RNA". It matches the Rfam family "Bacterial large subunit ribosomal RNA", at positions 2677 to 2925 of the family's 2925-position model. Lineage: Bacteria; Pseudomonadati; Pseudomonadota; Gammaproteobacteria; Enterobacterales; Enterobacteriaceae. The record is from RNAcentral.